GGCAAUGUAGCUCAGUGGUAGAGUGCUUGCCUAGCAUGUAUGAAGCCCUGAGUUCAAUUCCUCAGUACCA
Molecule: transfer RNA, 70 nt
Filed under: Dipodomys ordii (Ord's kangaroo rat)
Lineage: Eukaryota; Metazoa; Chordata; Mammalia; Rodentia; Heteromyidae
Rfam family: tRNA
About the family: Transfer RNA (tRNA) molecules are approximately 80 nucleotides in length. Their secondary structure includes four short double-helical elements and three loops (D, anti-codon, and T loops). Further hydrogen bonds mediate the characteristic L-shaped molecular structure. tRNAs have two regions of fundamental functional importance: the anti-codon, which is responsible for specific mRNA codon recognition, and the 3' end, to which the tRNAs corresponding amino acid is attached (by aminoacyl-tRNA synthetases). tRNAs cope with the degeneracy of the genetic code in two manners: having more than one tRNA (with a specific anti-codon) for a particular amino acid; and 'wobble' base-pairing, i.e. permitting non-standard base-pairing at the 3rd anti-codon position.
Source: Rfam by way of RNAcentral